GCGGCACCGGCGAGCGGCGCUGCGGGACGGGCGACGGGCAGGAGGGGAACUCAACUCCCGAAGCCGGCCCAGCUCCUCCGUCAGCUCGGUGUAGGCCAGCGCCAAAUUCACCCUGAAGUCAGAGGGCAGUGGGAAAGACGAGAAGGGCAGUGGGUCUACCGUCCCAGCUGUGGAGGAAGAACUGGCUCUACCCCAGCAUCUGGCCCCACCAUGCUCCCUCCCACCCGCAGGGCCCUCCUACCCCAAUUGCAGAAAUCCUCCCUACCUUUAAGGUCCAGCUCAAAAGCCACCUCUUCCAGGGAGACUCCCUCUGCAUCCUGAGACCCAUUCCCUGGGCUAGGGCAGUGGUUCCCAGCCUAAGUGCAGGGACAGGGAGCAGAGAGAUUCCAAGGGCUCCCUGAAUCCCUGCAUCAGGCACUGUCCGUGGUCUGAACACAGCUCAUACAGGUAUGUGUGAAUGUUUUUCUAAUCUGUGCAAAAGCUGUGAUGAUGAAUUAAAGCACCGAUUCAUCAAAAAGCUGUACUGAAUUUAUAGUAGCUUCUGUCACUGUGAAUUUUCUCAAGCAAUGCAUACUAAAAGUGUUAUAAUCUGUGUACUGGGAGUGGGAUCCAUGAAGAGUCCUCACCUUUGAAAAGGUUGGGGACCCUGCUGCAUAGAAUAGCUCGUUCCAUAAGUGAAGAUGGUUUCCUGGCUGGUGGAGGUGCUAACUGAUAAACUUAACCCCAAGCCAGCCCAAUUCCAUGUCCACUGCACCUGGCUCGACCUCAAAGCUGCCUCUGGGCUCUUUUCAGCUUUGCCCCUCCCAGGACCUCCUUGCUGUACAACUCCACCAGGGCCUUAACACUGAGAUCUUUGUGAACAGCUGCUGUACACUGCACACUUGCAGUGAGUGCCAGUCACACCAGGCACUUCUCAAAGGCUGCCUUGUUCUAGAACUUUA
RNAcentral lists this long non-coding RNA (941 nucleotides) under Homo sapiens (human). RNAcentral describes it as "HSALNT0241746". Lineage: Eukaryota; Metazoa; Chordata; Mammalia; Primates; Hominidae. The record is from RNAcentral.